This 1834-nucleotide long non-coding RNA is filed under the name Triticum aestivum (bread wheat). RNAcentral's name for it is "long non-coding RNA (TAES_LNC025539)". The record is from RNAcentral. Lineage: Eukaryota; Viridiplantae; Streptophyta; Magnoliopsida; Poales; Poaceae.
UUAUUCUUGUCUAAGACCAAAAAGGAAUGAGAAAAAUAAUGUUUGAUAAAGAUAUUGCAAUUCCUCUAACAAAUUUCUGUGAAGUCUUGCUAGCUGGUAUAAAAUGCGAACUUAUCAUCACUGCCAACCACUAAUGCCAAUUCUUGACCUUGUUUCCCUCGAAAAGAAUACUUUUACACAUGUAGUUAUUUAUAAAAGAGGGACAACUUCCAUGGUUCUAAAGUCAAAACUACACAAUAAUAAAUAGCUCAAACUCAUGCACACCAUCAGCCAAAUAACUACAGAGACUCCAAGUGGAACCAUGUAGCACUGGUCUUACAAACAUCUCAUUAUAAACACGUCUGGAUCUGGGGCUCUUGCUCAAUUGAUCUACCAACUUCAGCUACCUCGUCUGUUGCUAUCUUCCAUAUUUUAAUCUCCUCUCCAACAGCUGUCUUACGUCCAUUAUCAGACCCUCAACCUGAAGAAUGUAUCAAACACAAUUAUGUGAUGCCUCAUUGACUCCAACCUUCUUAAGAGUAGUAUACUUGAAACAUCAUAAUACAUAUGAAAACAUUACACUUUCGUACAUUAUAGACAAGUGAUGGCUUGACUGAAUUAAUCAAGCACAUGUUAUGUUUUGUGUUUUGACAACAAGCCAUAUACAAAGAGUAAGAAACACAUGUUAUGUUUGGUGUUAUGUUUGCUACUCUUCCAACUCAGUAGCAUACCUGCCAGUAUAGAUCACCUAACUUUCUUCAUAAGUGUCACUACCAGAAAAAACCUACAAACAAAAACUAACACCGCUGUCAGCCAUGGCUGCUGCCAUGUGCAUGCAGUCAUGCAUGCUACGGAUCUCAGGCUUGACCUCACAUAUCUCCUCCUUAACCGUGUAGUUGCAGCGUUGGCCCAGCAGCAUGCCACUGCCAAUGCCACGCUAGUGAUCAGCAUCAAGGCGACCUCGGCAUCAAUGAAAUGGUCUUUCCCCUGUUCUUUCAGCGGGAGGUAUACUUUCCCAAAACUGAACAUCUAGACUUCUCAUGACAAAAUAUUUGAACCCACCCGAGGAUUUGAACUUAAUUGGCGCAUGUAUACAUUUUAUUUUUUGGCAAGCAACUUGGGGAAUGAUCACCCUUUAAUCUGAAUAAGAAAAAUACAAAAAUCAUUUAUCACUGUACCCAAAGUUUGACCACUACUAUAUUGUUCCUGUAGUGUCUGCUUUAUUCUGAAAAACUGUAGCACCAUCAUUAGCAAUGUUCAAUAGCUCAUUGCGUCUACAUGAAUUGGCCUCUCAGAUCUGUGAUUCUACUCUUCUAAAAUUAUUCACUCUAGUCCUCAUACAAUGUGUGAGAAAUCUGACAAAAUAUUUUUAAACCUUGAGAAACAUACUAACAAAUAGGUGGCUCGCACAAACUUGCAAGUAGAGAGAGAGAGAGAGAGAUGGGGCUGCACCGUUCGUUACGCAUGAAUAUUUCUUGUGGGCAUUGUAUCAAACAGAUGUCCUACAACUUGAUGCAAAAGUAAAUCUCACGUGGGCAUGUGUCUGGGUAAAAUAACGCACCAAAGGAAGAGACGGAGCUUUCACCAGCAGGAGACAGGGAGGAGGAGAUGGAGCCGGGAGGAGGUGUGUUCCAACGUGACCGGGGGCGGCGCGACUCGUCAGGAGUCGAGCAGGGAGGAGUCACUGGGGCAUGUGGGCUAGAGGAGGCGAGCGGCACGUUGCCGGGAGGAGGAAAGGGACGCGCGGCUGGGGGCAGCGCACAUCGCCGGCAGCAUAGCCGCAAGGAGGCGCGGGGCGGAGCCAUUGUCACGGAGCAGCUCGUGGCCUGGAGUCGGAGCAGGAGAAUGAUGGGAU